RNAcentral lists this ribosomal RNA (443 nucleotides) under uncultured bacterium. RNAcentral describes it as "partial 16S ribosomal RNA". It matches the Rfam family "Bacterial small subunit ribosomal RNA", at positions 338 to 795 of the family's 1533-position model. The record is from RNAcentral.
CCUACGGGAGGCAGCAGUGGGGAAUAUUGGGCAAUGGGCGCAAGCCUGACCCAGCAACGCCGCGUGAAGGAAGAAGGCUUUCGGGUUGUAAACUUCCUUUAUGAGGGACGAAAGAAAUGACGGUACCUCAUGAAUAAGUCACGGCUAACUACGUGCCAGCAGACGCGGCAAUACGUAGGUGGCAAGCGUUAUCCGGAUUUACUGGGUGUAAAGGGUGUGUAGGCGGGACUGCAAGUCAGAUGUGAAAAUUAUGGGCUCAACCCAUAACCUGCAUUUGAAACUGUAGUUCUUGAGUGAUGGAGAGGCAGGCGGAAUGCCGUGUGUAGCGGUGAAAUGCGUAGAUAUACAGAGGAACACCGGUGGCGAAGGCAGCCUACUAAACAUUAACUGACGCUGAGGCGCGAAAGCGUGGGGAGCAAACAGGAUUAGAUACCCGUGUAGUC